AAUGGAGGCAACUCUGACCCAGCCAUGCCGCGUGGGUGACGAAGGUCUUCGGAUUGUAAAGCCCUUUCGGCGGGGACGAUGAUGACGGUACCCGCAGAAGAAGCCCCGGCUAACUUCGUGCCAGCAGCCGCGGUAAUACGAAGGGGGCUAGCGUUGUUCGGAAUUACUGGGCGUAAAGGGCGUGUAGGCGGCCCGUUAAGACAGGUGUGAAAUUCCUGGGCUCAACCCAGGACGUGCGCCUGUGACUGGCGGGCUUGAGUCCGGGAGAGGAUGGUGGAACUCCCAGUGUAGAGGUGAAAUUCGUAGAUAUUGGGAAGAACACCCGUGGCGAAGGCGGCCAUCUGGACCGGUACUGACGCUAAGGCGCGACAGCGUGGGGAGCAAA
RNAcentral lists this ribosomal RNA (385 nucleotides) under uncultured bacterium. RNAcentral's name for it is "bacterial SSU rRNA". It matches the Rfam family "Bacterial small subunit ribosomal RNA", at positions 370 to 772 of the family's 1533-position model. The record is from RNAcentral.